AUUGGCUGAAGGUUCGCUAUUUAUUAUCAAACUUUUAAUAGAACGCUUAUAUUACCUAAAGAUAAAAAUAUUCGACCAAUAUUUGUAUUGCUCCCACCAAAUGAAAAAAUUAAAAACCUCAAAAUGGCUUUUACGGGAUACUGAUAAGAAGGGCACGAAAGCACGUCGAUACGAGGCAUAAAAUAAUUAUCUCAUUAUAAAGCCGCAAAAGAGGGAGCGUGUGAAACAUGGAAGUGGUAAUCAUCACUUGACGAAAGCCUACAGCCAAAACAGAAUGACAAACAGCAAAAACAAAAAAAAAAAAAAAACAGUCAAUUGAAUAGCGCACGGGACAAAUGGAAAAUUUUACAGAGAUGCAUUCGACGGACAGACGGAUGUGCGGUAGCAGGAGAGGGGGAGAGACGGAGGGUACGCACGUACGCACUCACGGUCGCUGGCCUAUGUAAAGCAAGAGAAGACGGAAAGAAGAGAAAAAUGAGAGCGCAGCCCCCACAAAUGCAUACGUGCCAUAUAGCACAGAAAUAACAACAACAUCAACAAGAAAUGUGCAGACAACGAUGACGUAGUGAAAGUCAGUCUGCGUGUUUUGUUUUUGUAUUUUUUCUCUUGAUGUAACGAAACACCUGCGUUUUGUUAUUGUUGCUAUGCUAAAUGAAAAUAAAUGUGUACUAUAGAUGUAAAUAAACAAUAUGGCGACUCACCUUGCUCCAGCAAAUUAAGUUAUUCGUAUCCGGAUCAUCCACCAGACGCCAGAGCUUAGCCAAAAACGCUGGCACUCCGCUGCCGGCGCCCGUUUCACCAACUGUAUGCAUUGUGCGACGUGAUCGCUGCUUCUGCUGCUGCUCGAGAUCCUCGUCGUCCUCCUCUUCGUCAGUUGAUUCGUGCUUUAGCUGCACGGCCUUUAAAGUUGCUCGCUUCUUGGACAUAUAAAGCGACGUUAACAACUACAAUAUGUGUGAAAAUUGCAAGGUGAAAAAGAUAA
This is a long non-coding RNA of Drosophila nasuta, 982 nucleotides long. RefSeq lists it as uncharacterized. Lineage: Eukaryota; Metazoa; Arthropoda; Insecta; Diptera; Drosophilidae. The record is from RefSeq and is a predicted model, not a curated record. The transcript is spliced from 2 exons.